GGGGUUGACAUGGAUUUGACAGCAAGAUGAGGUGGUAUGUAAGCAUGCAGAGCGCUGAUGAAAGGCUCUUAAAAACUGCAUCAUAAAAAUUUAUCUGGCAACAAUACUUAUGCUCUCGCAGCUUAAACCGAAGUAUAGUAGGUUUGCUUCAUUCCUUUGUUAGACAUUGGAACGAGACGUCGCCCUGAAAGCUCCCUUCCUGAAGCGGUCAGAUCAGCGGCGCAGAAAAUUCGGGAAUAGUUAUAGACAGCCUCGUGUCUAUAAUGAAAUUUUAGAGGAUAAGGUUAUGAUAGGUGGUUCAGGUCUUGUCAUAGCACGAAAACCGAAGGCUGAAAUAAGCAUGUAGAAAGCGUAUGGUCUCCUUGUUUGGACGAGGGUUCAAUUCCCUCCAGCUCCACGA
RNAcentral lists this transfer-messenger RNA (400 nucleotides) under Bacteroidaceae. RNAcentral's name for it is "UBA1786 sp017614465 Standard tmRNA". It matches the Rfam family "transfer-messenger RNA". Rfam says of the family: Bacterial tmRNA, also known as 10Sa RNA or SsrA, is named for its dual tRNA and mRNA-like properties. Its role is to liberate the mRNA from a stalled ribosome. RNAcentral also lists the same sequence under 1 other name. The record is from RNAcentral. Lineage: Bacteria; Pseudomonadati; Bacteroidota; Bacteroidia; Bacteroidales.